Molecule: ribosomal RNA, 253 nt
Filed under: uncultured bacterium
Lineage: Bacteria
Description: partial 16S ribosomal RNA
Rfam family: Bacterial small subunit ribosomal RNA
Source: RNAcentral
UACGUAGGGUGCGAGCGUUAAUCGGAAUUACUGGGCGUAAAGCGUGCGCAGGCGGUUCGCUGUGUCCGAUGUGAAAGCCCCGGGCUUAACCUGGGAAUGGCAUUGGAAACUGGCGGGCUUGAGUGUGGCAGAGGGGGGUGGAAUUCCGCGUGUAGCAGUGAAAUGCGUAGAUAUCAGGAGGAACACCAAUGGCGAAGGCAGCUCGCUGGGACGUUACUGACGCUGAGACGCGAAAGCGUGGGGAGCAAACAGG